CCAAUAGCGUAUAUUAAAGUUGUUGCAGUUAAAAAGCUCGUAGUUGAAUUUCGGGAUCAAUAUUUCGGUCAUGCCGUUGGUAUGCACUGUUAUAAUUGAUUUCUCACCUUCUAAAGGACCGUUAUGCCAUUAAUUUGGUGUUACGGGGAAUUAGGACUGUUACCUUGAAAAAAUUAGAGUGUUUAAAGCAGGCUCACGCUUGAAUACAUUAGCAUGGAAUAAUGAAAUAGGACAUCCGAUUCUAUUUUGUUGGUUUCUAGGAUCGAUGUAAUGAUUAAUAGGGAUAGUUGGGGGCAUUAGUAUUCAAUUGUCAGAGGUGAAAUUCUUGGAUUUAUUGAAGACUAACUACUGCGGAAGCAUUUGCCAAGGAUGUUUUCAUUAAUCAAGAACGAAAGUUAGGGGAUCGAAGACGAUCAGAUACCGUCGUAGUCUUAACCAUAAACUAUGCCGACUAGGGAUCGGAUGAUGUUAAUUUUUUAAUGACUCAUUCGGCGCCUUACG
RNAcentral lists this ribosomal RNA (501 nucleotides) under uncultured Glomeromycotina. RNAcentral describes it as "partial small subunit ribosomal RNA". It matches the Rfam family "Eukaryotic small subunit ribosomal RNA", at positions 591 to 1092 of the family's 1831-position model. Lineage: Eukaryota; Fungi; Glomeromycota. The record is from RNAcentral.